RNAcentral lists this ribosomal RNA (443 nucleotides) under uncultured bacterium. Its description in RNAcentral is "partial 16S ribosomal RNA". It matches the Rfam family "Bacterial small subunit ribosomal RNA", at positions 338 to 795 of the family's 1533-position model. The record is from RNAcentral.
CCUACGGGUGACUGCAGUGGGGAAUAUUGGGCAAUGGGCGCAACCCUGACCCAGCAACGCCGCGUGAAGGAAGAAGGCUUUCGGGUUGUAAACUUCUUUUCUGAGGGACGAAGUAAGUGACGGUACCUCAGGAAUAAGCCACUGCUAACUACGUGCCAGCAGCCGCGGUAAUACGUAGGUGGCAAGCGUUAUCCGGAUUUAUUGGGUGUAAAGGGCGUGUAGGCGGGAAAGCAAGUCAGAUGUGAAAACUCAGGGCUCAACCCUGAGCCUGCAUUUGAAACUGUUUAUCUUGAGUGCUGGAGAGGCAAUCGGAAUUCCGUGUGUAGCGGUGAAAUGCGUAGAUAUACGGAGGAACACCAGUGGCGAAGGCGGAUUGCUGGACAGUAACUGACGCUGAGGCGCGAAAGCGUGGGGAGCAAACAGGAUUAGAUACCCCUGUAGUC